CGUACUUGUACUGAUUGAGAUUUUAACACGAAGUGAGUGGCGAACGGGUGAGUAACACGUGGGUAACCUGCCCAGAAGUAGGGGAUAACACCUGGAAACAGAUGCUAAUACCGUAUAACAGAGAAAACCGCAUGGUUUUCUUUUAAAAGAUGGCUCUGCUAUCACUUCUGGAUGGACCCGCGGCGUAUUAGCUAGUUGGUGAGGUAAAGGCUCACCAAGGCAGUGAUACGUAGCCGACCUGAGAGGGUAAUCGGCCACAUUGGGACUGAGACACGGCCCAGACUCCUACGGGAGGCAGCAGUAGGGAAUCUUCCACAAUGGACGCAAGUCUGAUGGAGCAACGCCGCGUGAGUGAAGAAGGGUUUCGGCUCGUAAAGCUCUGUUGUUAAAGAAGAACGUGGGUAAGAGUAACUGUUUACCCAGUGACGGUAUUUAACCAGAAAGCCACGGCUAACUACGUGCCAGCAGCCGCGGUAAUACGUAGGUGGCAAGCGUUAUCCGGAUUUAUUGGGCGUAAAGCGAGCGCAGGCGGUCUUUUAAGUCUAAUGUGAAAGCCUUCGGCUCAACCGAAGAAGUGCAUUGGAAACUGGGAGACUUGAGUGCAGAAGAGGACAGUGGAACUCCAUGUGUAGCGGUGAAAUGCGUAGAUAUAUGGAAGAACACCAGUGGCGAAGGCGGCUGUCUGGUCUGCAACUGACGCUAAGGCUCGAAAGCAUGGGUAGCGAACAGGAUUAGAUACCCUGGUAGUCCAUGCCGUAAACGAUGAUUACUAAGUGUUGGGAGGGUUUCCGGCCCUUCAGUGCUGCAGCUAACGCAUUAAGUAAUCCGCCUGGGGGAGUACG
RNAcentral lists this ribosomal RNA (842 nucleotides) under Pediococcus pentosaceus. Its description in RNAcentral is "bacterial SSU rRNA". It matches the Rfam family "Bacterial small subunit ribosomal RNA", at positions 63 to 884 of the family's 1533-position model. The record is from RNAcentral. Lineage: Bacteria; Bacillati; Bacillota; Bacilli; Lactobacillales; Lactobacillaceae.